GGGGCCGUAGCUCAGUUGGGAGAGCGCUUGAAUGGCAUUCAAGAGGUCGAGGGUUCAAUUCCCUUCGGCUCCA
This 73-nucleotide transfer RNA is filed under the name Deltaproteobacteria bacterium. RNAcentral describes it as "tRNA-Ala". It matches the Rfam family "tRNA". From Rfam's summary of the family: Transfer RNA (tRNA) molecules are approximately 80 nucleotides in length. Lineage: Bacteria; Pseudomonadati; Myxococcota; Myxococcia. The record is from RNAcentral.